This 253-nucleotide ribosomal RNA is filed under the name uncultured bacterium. RNAcentral's name for it is "partial 16S ribosomal RNA". It matches the Rfam family "Bacterial small subunit ribosomal RNA", at positions 524 to 776 of the family's 1533-position model. The record is from RNAcentral.
UACGGGGGGGGCAAGCGUUGUUCGGAAUUACUGGGCGUAAAGGGCUCGUAGGUGGCCAACUAAGUCGGACGUGAAAUCCCUCAGCUUAACCGGGGAACUGCGUCUGAUACUGGAUGGCUUGAGUUUGGGAGAGGGAUGCGGAAUUCCAGGUGUAGCGGUGAAAUGCGUAGAUAUCUGGAGGAACACCGGUGGCGAAGGCGGCGUCCUGGACCAACACUGACACUGAGGAGCGAAAGCCAGGGGAGCAAACGGG